GGUUAAGCGACUAAGCGUACACGGUGGAUGCCCUGGCAGUCAGAGGCGAUGAAGGACGUGCUAAUCUGCGAAAAGCGUCGGUAAGGUGAUAUGAACCGAUACAGCCGGCGAUGUCCGAAUGGGGAAACCCAGUGCAAUUCGUUGCACUAUCGUUAACUGAAUACAUAGGUUAACGAGGCGAACCGGGGGAACUGAAACAUCUAAGUACCCCGAGGAAAAGAAAUCAACCGAGAUUCCCCCAGUAGCGGCGAGCGAACGGGGAGCAGCCCAGAGUCUGAAUCAGCUUGUGUGUUAGUGGAACGGUCUGGAAAGUCCGACGGUACAGGGUGAUAGUCCCGUACACCAAAAUGCACAGGCUGUGAACUCGAAGAGUAGGGCGGGACACGUGGUAUCCUGUCUGAAUAUGGGGGGACCAUCCUCCAAGGCUAAAUACUCCUGACUGACCGAUAGUGAACCAGUACCGUGAGGGAAAGGCGAAAAGAACCCCGGCGAGGGGAGUGAAAAAGAACCUGAAACCGUGUACGUACAAGCAGUGGGAGCACCUUCGGGUGUGACUGCGUACCUUUUGUAUAAUGGGUCAGCGACUUAUAUUCUGUAGCAAGGUUAACCGUAUAGGGGAGCCGCAGGGAAACCGAGUCUUAACUGGGCGUUAAGUUGCAGGGUAUAGACCCGAAACCCGGUGAUCUAGCCAUGGGCAGGUUGAAGGUUGGGUAACACUAACUGGAGGACCGAACCGACUAAUGUUGAAAAAUUAGCGGAUGACUUGUGGCUGGGGGUGAAAGGCCAAUCAAACCGGGAGAUAGCUGGUUCUCCCCGAAAGCUAUUUAGGUAGCGCCUCGUGAAUUCAUCUUCGGGGGUAGAGCACUGUUUCGGCUAGGGGGUCAUCCCGACUUACCAACCCGAUGCAAACUACGAAUACCGAAGAAUGUUAUCACGGGAGACACACGGCGGGUGCUAACGUCCGUCGUGAAGAGGGAAACAACCCAGACCGCCAGCUAAGGUCCCAAAGUCAUGGUUAAGUGGGAAACGAUGUGGGAAGGCACAGACAGCCAGGAUGUUGGCUUAGAAGCAGCCAUCAUUUAAAGAAAGCGUAAUAGCUCACUGGUCGAGUCGGCCUGCGCGGAAGAUGUAACGGGGCUAAACCAUGCACCGAAGCUGCGGCAGCGACACUAUGUGUUGUUGGGUAGGGGAGCGUUCUGUAAGCCUGCGAAGGUGUGCUGUGAGGCAUGCUGGAGGUAUCAGAAGUGCGAAUGCUGACAUAAGUAACGAUAAAGCGGGUGAAAAGCCCGCUCGCCGGAAGACCAAGGGUUCCUGUCCAACGUUAAUCGGGGCAGGGUGAGUCGACCCCUAAGGCGAGGCCGAAAGGCGUAGUCGAUGGGAAACAGGUUAAUAUUCCUGUACUUGGUGUUACUGCGAAGGGGGGACGGAGAAGGCUAUGUUAGCCGGGCGACGGUUGUCCCGGUUUAAGCAUGUAGGCUGGUUGUCCAGGCAAAUCCGGAUAAUCAAGGCUGAGGUGUGAUGACGAGGCACUACGGUGCUGAAGUAACAAAUGCCCUGCUUCCAGGAAAAGCCUCUAAGCAUCAGGUAACAUCAAAUCGUACCCCAAACCGACACAGGUGGUCAGGUAGAGAAUACCAAGGCGCUUGAGAGAACUCGGGUGAAGGAACUAGGCAAAAUGGUGCCGUAACUUCGGGAGAAGGCACGCUGGUGUGUAGGUGAAGUCCCUGCGGAUGGAGCUGAGACCAGUCGAAGAUACCAGCUGGCUGCAACUGUUUAUUAAAAACACAGCACUGUGCAAACACGAAAGUGGACGUAUACGGUGUGACGCCUGCCCGGUGCCGGAAGGUUAAUUGAUGGGGUUAUCCGUAAGGAGAAGCUCUUGAUCGAAGCCCCGGUAAACGGCGGCCGUAACUAUAACGGUCCUAAGGUAGCGAAAUUCCUUGUCGGGUAAGUUCCGACCUGCACGAAUGGCGUAAUGAUGGCCAGGCUGUCUCCACCCGAGACUCAGUGAAAUUGAACUCGCUGUGAAGAUGCAGUGUACCCGCGGCAAGACGGAAAGACCCCGUGAACCUUUACUAUAGCUUGACACUGAACAUUGAGCCUUGAUGUGUAGGAUAGGUGGGAGGCUUUGAAGCGUGGACGCCAGUCUGCGUGGAGCCAACCUUGAAAUACCACCCUUUAAUGUUUGAUGUUCUAACGUUGGCCCCUGACCGGGGUUGCGGACAGUGUCUGGUGGGUAGUUUGACUGGGGCGGUCUCCUCCCAAAGCGUAACGGAGGAGCACGAAGGUUAGCUAAUCCUGGUCGGACAUCAGGAGGUUAGUGCAAUGGCAUAAGCUAGCUUGACUGCGAGCGUGACGGCGCGAGCAGGUGCGAAAGCAGGUCAUAGUGAUCCGGUGGUUCUGAAUGGAAGGGCCAUCGCUCAACGGAUAAAAGGUACUCCGGGGAUAACAGGCUGAUACCGCCCAAGAGUUCAUAUCGACGGCGGUGUUUGGCACCUCGAUGUCGGCUCAUCACAUCCUGGGGCUGAAGUAGGUCCCAAGGGUAUGGCUGUUCGCCAUUUAAAGUGGUACGCGAGCUGGGUUUAGAACGUCGUGAGACAGUUCGGUCCCUAUCUGCCGUGGGCGCUGGAGAAUUGAGGGGGGCUGCUCCUAGUACGAGAGGACCGGAGUGGACGCAUCACUGGUGUUCGGGUUGUCAUGCCAAUGGCACUGCCCGGUAGCUAAAUGCGGAAGAGAUAAGUGCUGAAAGCAUCUAAGCACGAAACUUGCCCCGAGAUGAGUUCUCCCUGAGACUUUAAGUCUCCUGAAGGAACGUUAAAGACGAUGACGUUGAUAGGCCGGGUGUGUAAGCGCAGCGAUGCGUUGAGCUAACCGGUACUAAUGAACCGUGAGGCUUAACCUU
This 2902-nucleotide ribosomal RNA is filed under the name Klebsiella pneumoniae. RNAcentral's name for it is "23S ribosomal RNA". It matches the Rfam family "Bacterial large subunit ribosomal RNA". Lineage: Bacteria; Pseudomonadati; Pseudomonadota; Gammaproteobacteria; Enterobacterales; Enterobacteriaceae. The record is from RNAcentral.